Molecule: ribosomal RNA, 179 nt
Filed under: uncultured bacterium
Lineage: Bacteria
Description: partial 16S ribosomal RNA
Rfam family: Bacterial small subunit ribosomal RNA
Source: RNAcentral
ACUCCUACGGGAGGCAGCAGUGGGGAAUAUUGCGCAAUGGGCGAAAGCCUGACGCAGCAACGCCGCGUGAGGGAUGACGGCCUUCGGGUUGUAAACCUCUUUCAGCAGGGACGAAGCGUAAGUGACUGUACCUGCAGAAGAAGCGCCGGCUAACUACGUGCCAGCAGCCGCGGUAAUAC